GCCGGGCGUGGUGGCGGGCGCCUGUAAUCCCAGCUACUCUGGAGGCUGAGGCAGGAGAAUCACUUGAACCCAGGAGGCAGAGAUUGCAGUGAGCCGAGAUUGCGCCACUGCAUUCCAGCCUGGGCGACAGAGCGAGACUCUGUCUCAC
Molecule: non-coding RNA, 148 nt
Filed under: Homo sapiens (human)
Lineage: Eukaryota; Metazoa; Chordata; Mammalia; Primates; Hominidae
Source: Rfam by way of RNAcentral